UUUACAAUGGAGAGUUUGAUCCUGGCUCAGGAUGAACGCUAGCGGCAGGCCUAAUACAUGCAAGUCGAACGGUGGCAGCAAUGCCAUAGUGGCGCACGGGUGCGUAACGCGUAGCCAACCUACCCAAAUCUGGGGGAUAGCCCGCCGAAAGGCGGAUUAAUACCGCAUAAGACAACGGAACGGCAUCGUUCAGUUGUUAAAGAUUUAUUGGAUUUGGAUGGGGCUGCGUGCCAUUAGCUAGUUGGUGGGGUAACGGCUCACCAAGGCGACGAUGACUAGGGGAGCUGAGAGGCUGGUCCCCCACACGGGCACUGAGAUACGGGCCCGACUCCUACGGGAGGCAGCAGUAGGGAAUAUUGGGCAAUGGGCGAGAGCCU
RNAcentral lists this ribosomal RNA (377 nucleotides) under Hymenobacter sp. Its description in RNAcentral is "bacterial SSU rRNA". It matches the Rfam family "Bacterial small subunit ribosomal RNA", at positions 1 to 384 of the family's 1533-position model. Lineage: Bacteria; Pseudomonadati; Bacteroidota; Cytophagia; Cytophagales; Hymenobacteraceae. The record is from RNAcentral.